GACGAACGCUGGCGGCAAGCUUAACACAUGCAAGUCGAGCGCGUAGCAAUACGAGCGGCAGACGGGUGAGUAACGCGUGGGAACGUGCCUUUCGGCUCGGAACAAACUGAGGGAAACUUCAGCUAAAACCGGAUACGCCCUUGUCCUUAACAAGAUUUGGGGAAAGUUUACACCGAAAGAUCGGCCCGCGUCAGAUUAGGUAGUUGGUGGGGUAAUGGCCUACCAAGCCGACGAUCUGUAGCUGUUCGAGAGGAAGAUCAGCCACAUUGGGACUGAGACACGGCCCAAACUCCUACGGGAGGCAGCAGUGGGGAAUAUUGGACAAUGGGCGCAAGCCUGAUCCAGCUAUGCCGCGUGGAUGAAGAA
Molecule: ribosomal RNA, 366 nt
Filed under: uncultured bacterium
Lineage: Bacteria
Description: bacterial SSU rRNA
Rfam family: Bacterial small subunit ribosomal RNA
Source: RNAcentral